This 423-nucleotide ribosomal RNA is filed under the name uncultured bacterium. Its description in RNAcentral is "partial 16S ribosomal RNA". It matches the Rfam family "Bacterial small subunit ribosomal RNA", at positions 359 to 774 of the family's 1533-position model. The record is from RNAcentral.
GAAUUUUGGACAAUGGGCGAAAGCCUGAUCCAGCAAUGCCGCGUGCAGGAUGAAGGCCUUCGGGUUGUAAACUGCUUUUGUACGGAACGAAAAGCUUUGGGGUAAUACCCGGGAGUCAUGACGGUAACGUACGAAAAAGCACCGGAUACCUCCGUGCCAGCAGCCGCUGUAAUACGUAGGGUGCAAGCGUCAAUCGGAAUUACUGGGCGUAAAGCGUGCGCAGGCGGUUUUGUAAGACAGAGGUGAAAUCCCCGGGCUCAACCUGGGAACUGCCUUUGUGACUGCAAGGCGAGAGUACGGCAGAGGGGGGUGGAAUUCCGCGUGUAGCAGUGAAAUGCGUAGAUAUGCGGAGGAACACCGAUGGCGAAGGCAACCCCCUGGGCCUGUACUGACGCUCAUGCACGAAAGCGUGGGGAGCAAACA